Molecule: long non-coding RNA, 385 nt
Organism: Vidua macroura (Pin-tailed whydah)
Lineage: Eukaryota; Metazoa; Chordata; Aves; Passeriformes; Viduidae
Exons: 3
Source: RefSeq, a predicted model, not a curated record
CUGCAACCUCCUUAACUUCCAAUCUUCCCAAAGUGGACUGAAUCUGUACCAGAACUGAAGGCAUCCUGUUCCUGUGGGAAGAGGUCUGUGCUUUAAAGGUCAGAGCUUCUCAGAUUAAAGAAGGGGGAAGGAAUCUGCCUCUGUCAUUUUGGGAGUCCAAAGGACAGCCUGGCUCUUCCAGUACAGUCUCCUACUGCAUUUCUGGAAGAGUGUUCUUGUCCAGGAUGGCUGAUAGCAUAUAUGCUUGGGAUGCUUCCACCCACUUGUGUGCCACAAGUUUCUUCCCAGAAUCCCAAAGGCUUAAUAUGAAAGACCAUAAGCAGCAGUUCUGUUGUUCUGUGGAAGGAAAGCAAGAGUUCAUCACCAAUGUCACAAUUCCUUUGAA